CUAUCUACCACUGAUCUUAUGAUGUAGAGGUAUUGUUAUGCAGUAAUUAAGUAUAUGAUCCCUGGAAUGAGGCUACAUAGCUUUAAAUGCAGCUUUUGCCACUAGCUGUUCAGCCUUGGACAAAUUACUUAACCUCUUGUAGCCUCAGUGUUCUUGUCUGUCAUCUGAUACUAAAAAGAGUACAAAAUUUUGUAGUACUUUGGUAAAAACUAAGAGAGAGAAUGCAUGGACAAUACUCUUCAUAGAGACUGGCACAUACUGACAAAAUGUUAUUUUUAUGUUAUAAUAAAUAUAUCUAUUACUAUUAUUCUAUUCUUGGGUUAUAGAAAUUCAGGCUGUUUGAAAUAUUUAAAAGAUCUUGACUAUAGAGGUAAUUCUAUAAACAUCCAGGUUUGUAAAUAGACAAUUACUUUUCGGUUAUUCACAUUGUUAAAAGAUGAUAAAGAUCAGCCAACUCCAAAGGCUUUUAUAUUUGUUUUUUAAUGCAUUGUGUGAUUUGAGCGGCAAUACAGUUGGUUUCUUGAUGGCCAUUGAAAACAGUUUCUAUAUUUUCAGCUUAGGUGAUCCGAGUGGUGAAAGAAGGUAUACAGGCAGGUGCAUAUUGUGCAUUGUGAGAGAGCUAAAUCAGAGUGGAAGAUACCCAUGGAGAAACAAGAGUUGUUCAUUUGGUGGUGUAUAUAUUGCCUAUUUAUAUGUUUUAUUCAACAGACUUUAUAUAUAAAGUUCUUCUAAGUUCUAGCCCACUGAUUCUUUUCUCUUUCCUUCUGUGAACACUGUUGUCUGGAAGGAAGCUGCUACUUAGCCAUGCACCUCUGCAAAUCUUGGAAAGAGUCAAGGAUUCCUGAGGCAAGGAAGUUGGAUAAUGAUGAGCACCAGGCAAGACACAGCUGGCCACUGGAGAGAGAGCCCAGUGUAGGCAGAAGGCCAGAAUGUGCCAACAGGUUCAAGGUGUAAAGGAAGAAAAGCCAGGGCAUGUGCAUCGUUGACAGACAUCUGAAAUGGAUCAUCUUGCUGGGAGUUGGAGGGUUCUUUCUCACCGCCCCUCUGUUCAUCCUCUGAGCUGUAAUUGCCUAAAUAGACAGAUUAGCACAAACUCAGCCUGUGCAAGUAUCUUUUAAUGCUCAUUUGCUGACUUUAAUGAGUUCCAGAACCAAUUUGUGAUCUUAAAAUCGCUCAGGUUUAUCACCAAAAGAAAGCACUGUAAGUCUAGUGCAAGAGGUCAGCUCAGCAGAACUCAGCAGUGAGACAUUGAUAUGAAAAUGAAUUCACUCCCUCUCCCUCUCCCUCUCCCGAUGCCGAGCCGAAGCUGGACUGUACUGCUGCCAUCUCGGCUCACUGCAGCCUCCCUGCCUGGUUCUCCUGCCUCAGCCUGCGGAGUGCCUGCAAUUGCAGGCGCGCGACGCCACGCCUCACUGCUUUUCGUAUUUUUUUGGUGGAGACGGGGUUUCGCUGUGUUGGCCGGGCUGGUCUCCAGCUCCUAGCCGCGAGUGAUCCGCCAGCCUCGGCCUCCCGGGGUGCGGGGAUUGCAGACGGAGUCUGGUUCACUCAGUGCUCAAUGGUGCCCAGGCUGGAGUGCAGUGGCGUGAUCUCGGCUGGCUACAACCUCCACCUCCCAGCCGCCUGCCUUGGCCUCCCUAAGUGCCGAGAUUGCAGCCUCUGCCCGGCCGCCACCCCGUCUGGGAAGUGAGGAGCGUCUCUGCCUGGCCGCCCAUCGCCUGGGACGUGAGGAGCCCCUCUGCCUGGCUGCCCAGUCUGGAAAGUGAGGAGCGUCUCUGCCCGGCCGCCAUCCCAUCUAGGAAGUGACGAGCGCCUCUUCCCGGUCGCCAUCCCAUCUAGGAAGUGAGGAGCGUCUCUGCCCGGCCGCCCAUCGUCUGAGAUGUGGGGAGAGCCUCUGCCCCGCCGCCCCGCCUGGGAUGUGAGGAGCGCCUCUACCCGGCCGCGACCCCGUCUGGGAGGUGAGGAGCGUCUCUGCCCGGCCGCCCCGUCUGAGAAGUGAGGAGACCCUCCGCCUCGCAGCCGCCCCGUCUGAAAAGGUGGCUGUCAAUAGAUUGGCCCAAAAGGAAGAACAAGGAAAAGGGCACCAAAGAAGAUAAAUGAAAAUACAAGGGUAUAAGCUGAACUGUGGACAUCCUGCCACUGGGAAUUAAGUUAAAGUAGAAAAAAGCAGAAUGUAAUGGGGAGUCCCCUCACAAGAAGAAUUUGGAUCAAAGCAUGGCAGUGAGGGGAAGCAUUGAGCAGGAAACCAUGAGACCAAAAUUUAAAAGCCAGAGCUUCCUGACUCCAAAAUCCUCUUUCUUUCCUGUUAUCCUGCUGAAGUGCCGAUUUCAAAUGAAGACUGACUUGAUCCUGAACAUAACCUACAAGAAGAAAGGGACCACAGGCUAUACACAAAGCAUGGUGCCGGCAUCUGCUUCUGGUGAGGGCCUCAGGAAGCUUACAAUCAUCUUGGAAGGUGAAGAGGAAGCCAGCGCAUCACAUGGCAAGAGAGGGAGCAAGAGAGAAGGGGACAGUGCCGCACACUUUAAAAAAAAACCUUAUCUCACGAGGCAGAACUAACUGAGUGAGAGUUCACUCAUCACCAAGGGAAUGGUGCUGAGUCAUUCAUGAGGGAUCCCCCUGCCGCCCCCGUGAUCCAAUCACCUCCCACCAGACCCCACCUCCAACACUGGGGAUUACAUUUCAACAUGAGACUUGGGGGGGACAAACAUCCAAACCAUGUCAGUCUUCAACCCCUCUUCCUGACAUACAACUCCUAAAACUCUUAGAAUCUCCAAAGUGCUGUCUUUUUAUGUGUUAGUAAUUGGCUAGUGGCUCACAGCCCCUUGGUAGCUUCAGGAUGGGGCCUGGUCACUGGAAAGACCAAGUCAUAAUUAGAGGGUUGAGACUUUCAGCCCACCCCCAACAUCUGGGGAGAAGAGAAGGGCCGAAGCUCAAAUUGAUCACCAAUGGCCAGUGUUUUAAUUAAUCAUGUGGCCAGGCGUGGUGGCUCACGCCUGUAAUCCUAGCACUUUGGGAGGCUGAGGCAGGUGGAUCACGAGGUCAGGAGAUGGAGACCAUCCUGGCUAACACGGUGAAACUCCAUCUCUACUAAAAAUACAAAAAAUUAGCUGGAUGCGGUGGCAUGCGCCUGUAGUCCCAGCUACUCAGGAGGCUGAAGCAGGAGAAUCACUUGAACCCGGGAGGCAGAGGUUACAGUGAGCCGAGAUUACACCACUGCACUCCAGCCUGGGUGACAGAGCCAGACUCCAUCUCAAAAAAACAACAACAAAAAAAGACAAAUAAAAUAAAUAAAAAUAAUGAAUCAUGCCUAUGUAAUGAAGCCUCCAUAAAAACACAAAAGAAUAGGGUUCAGGGAGCCUCUGGAUAGCUGAAUAUCUGGAGGCUCCUAGAGAGUGGCAUGUCCAGAGGGCAUGGAAGCUCUGUGCCCCUUUUUCACCCUAUACACCUCAUCAUCUGUAUGCUUGGUAAUAUCCUUUAUAAUAUACCAGUUAAACGUAAGUGUUUCUCUGAGUUCCUUGAGCCACUCUAGCAAAUCAAUGGACUUCAAAGAGAGGAUCGUAGGAAUCCCAACUUGAAGUCAGUUGGUCGGAAGUUCUGAGGCCCAGACUUGCGACUGGUAGGAAGUAGGGGCAGCUUUGUGAGACUGAGCCCUCAACCUGUGGUUUCUACUGCUAUCGCCAGGUAGAUAGUGUUGGAACAGAAUUGGAGGGAGCCCAGCUGGUAUCCACUGCAGAACUGCUCGCUUGCUUGCUGUGUGAGGAUAGACCCACACACAUUUGGUCACAGAAGACUUCUGUGGUCACACAGACUUCUGUUCAUCACAGAAGUCUUCUGCGAUGAUUGUUGUGGUGUGAAAGCAGAGGAGAAACACAGUUUGAAUUUUUCUACUUUCACACUGUGUUUACUGAAGGUUGCUCAAUGUAGGCUUGGGAUGGUUGGUCCGGGGUAUGUAAUAGAAGGUGCUUAAAAGUGCUCCUCAACAGUUUUGAAGCGUGUGGGACAAAAAAAAAAGUGCUCCUCAAAGGGUAGGCAGGAUAGUGUAAUGCUUAAAUAUAUGGAAUCUGGAUCCAAACUGGGCUCUGGUAUUUCCUUGUGAUGUGGACAACUUUACUUAUAUGUAAACUCAGUUUCUUCAUCCUAAAAUGGCAUAAUAACAGUAUCUACCUCCUAGGGUUGUUACAAAGUUUAAAUCUGUUAACGUAUAUAAAAAAGACUUUUGCCUGUCUCAUAGUAAGCACUCAACAAAUGUUAGCUAUUUAGAUUCCAAACAUAUAUAACAUUUGAUUAUAAACCAUGGAAACAUCUUAUGUAUGGUAUAGCAGAAAGAACAGGGAUUUUCAAAAUAGCCUAAGUUAUAUAAUCUUGAGCAAGUUGUAUGGCCACUGUGAGCCUUGUCUGAAAAAGGAGGAUGAUUACAUCAUAGGAUAGUUGUGAGAAUUAAAUGAAAUAAUAUAUGUGAAACACUUAGCAAAGAGUGGCACCUAACUGAGGCUCACAGUGUUUCUUCCCCUUUUUCCUAUGUCAGUAGUAUGCUGUCUUAUAAUUAUUUACUAUUAUGUUCUCAACGAGGAGUCUUAAGCUUUUAUAAUCUCCAAACUGG
Molecule: long non-coding RNA, 4600 nt
Filed under: Homo sapiens (human)
Lineage: Eukaryota; Metazoa; Chordata; Mammalia; Primates; Hominidae
Description: PREDICTED lncRNA (TCONS_00018749)
Source: RNAcentral